Molecule: transfer RNA, 90 nt
Filed under: bacterium
Lineage: Bacteria
Also listed under: 2 other names
Description: tRNA-Ser
Rfam family: tRNA
About the family: Transfer RNA (tRNA) molecules are approximately 80 nucleotides in length. Their secondary structure includes four short double-helical elements and three loops (D, anti-codon, and T loops). Further hydrogen bonds mediate the characteristic L-shaped molecular structure. tRNAs have two regions of fundamental functional importance: the anti-codon, which is responsible for specific mRNA codon recognition, and the 3' end, to which the tRNAs corresponding amino acid is attached (by aminoacyl-tRNA synthetases). tRNAs cope with the degeneracy of the genetic code in two manners: having more than one tRNA (with a specific anti-codon) for a particular amino acid; and 'wobble' base-pairing, i.e. permitting non-standard base-pairing at the 3rd anti-codon position.
Source: RNAcentral
GGAGAGAUGUCCGAGUGGAUGAAGGAGCACGCCUGGAAAGCGUGUAAAUGGGAAACUGUUUCCGGGGUUCGAAUCCCCGUCUCUCCGCCA